Molecule: long non-coding RNA, 907 nt
Organism: Anneissia japonica
Lineage: Eukaryota; Metazoa; Echinodermata; Crinoidea; Comatulida; Comatulidae
Exons: 3
Source: RefSeq, a predicted model, not a curated record
GUAUUGUGAAUUCAUACUGAGUGUAUAACAUUACCAGGUUCUUAACAGAUGUAUAUGCAGCUUUGAAUUCUUGUGAUGCUGAAUCCUGUAACGAUUCUGAGAACUGAGCUUCACCAUCACCAAAUAGAGAACGAAGAUUGACAUUGGCCAUGGUAUACUUAUAGAAAAGGAUCAUUGAUAGGGAAGAAAAACAACGCACAUGUGGAACAUCGGUAGAGAAAUAGCAUUUGAAUCCCAUCUGAAUUACUGCCAUAACAGAUUUCACUGAUAAACAGUAUCCUGUGGCAUCAACCACUCUUUUGAGGCAGUCUCUGUCAAACAGAAUAAAGAAAAUGAACAAGCCUAAAAAUUGGGAAUACCAUGUAUGCAUUUUUUUUUUUUUUAUUUUGUUAUUUAACUUUAAUUCCAAACUUCGUUCUAGAUUUGUGGUAGUAUUUUAUUAUAUUUUAUGUUUCAGUGUGUAGGCCGUCUUAAAGUUAGGCUCAGAAAAGUUGGUUUUUUUUAUGUUGUAGAAUUGAACUAAUUUUUUUAAAACCCACAAGAAUAUUUGAUGAAAAACUUUGAAGCGGUUAUUAAGAUUCAGAUUUUUUAAUAUUUAAAAACUGGAGGAAAAGAGACAUAACCACCCGUUUUCCCUUCUUACUUUUCCCCAGUUUUUAAAUAUUCAAAAAUAUGUAUCUCUCUAAUUAACUGCUUACAAGUUUUUUUUCAAAUAUACUUUGAGGCUUAGAAUGAUUAGUUCUACAACAUAUCAACAAAUGUAUGUCCUCCAGAGCUUGGCUUUAUUAAAUAGAAAUGCUACUUCCACAUCAAUAAUUAUAUCUACCCUUGUCAUAUUUUCUUAAAACAUAACAUUCGUUUAAAUAUUUUUGUCUUGCCAUAUUAUUGUAUAUACAUAAAAUCAAUA